This 465-nucleotide ribosomal RNA is filed under the name uncultured bacterium. Its description in RNAcentral is "bacterial SSU rRNA". It matches the Rfam family "Bacterial small subunit ribosomal RNA", at positions 339 to 796 of the family's 1533-position model. The record is from RNAcentral.
CUACGGGAGGCAGCAGUGGGGAAUUUUGGACAAUGGGGGCAAGUCUGAUCCAGCAAUGCCGCGUGCAGGACGAAGGCCUUCGGGUUGUAAACUGCUUUUGUACAGAACGAAAGGGCUCUGGUUAAUACCUGGGGCAGAUGACGGUACUGUAAGAAUAAGCACCGGCUAACUACGUGCCAGCAGCCGCGGUAAUACGUAGGGUGCGAGCGUUAAUCGGAAUUACUGGGCGUAAAGCGUGCGCAGGCGGUUUUGUAAGACCGAUGUGAAAUCCCCGGGCUCAACCUGGGAACUGCAUUGGUGACUGCAAGGCUGGAGUGCGGCAGAGGGGGAUGGAAUUCCGCGUGUAGCAGUGAAAUGCGUAGAUAUGCGGAGGAACACCGAUGGCGAAGGCAAUCCCCUGGGCCUGCACUGACGCUCAUGCACGAAAGCGUGGGGAGCAAACAGGAUUAGAUACCCGAGUAGUCC